RNAcentral lists this ribosomal RNA (253 nucleotides) under uncultured bacterium. Its description in RNAcentral is "partial 16S ribosomal RNA". It matches the Rfam family "Bacterial small subunit ribosomal RNA", at positions 524 to 776 of the family's 1533-position model. The record is from RNAcentral.
UACGAAGGGGGCUAGCGUUGCUCGGAAUCACUGGGCGUAAAGGGUGCGUAGGCGGGUCUUUAAGUCAGGGGUGAAAUCCUGGAGCUCAACUCCAGAACUGCCUUCGAUACUGAAGAUCUUGAGUCCGGGAGAGGUGAGUGGAACUGCGAGUGUAGAGGUGAAAUUCGUAGAUAUUCGCAAGAACACCAGUGGCGAAGGCGGCUCACUGGCCCGGUACUGACGCUGAGGCACGAAAGCGUGGGGAGCAAACAGG